RNAcentral lists this ribosomal RNA (795 nucleotides) under uncultured bacterium. RNAcentral's name for it is "bacterial SSU rRNA". It matches the Rfam family "Bacterial small subunit ribosomal RNA", at positions 8 to 796 of the family's 1533-position model. The record is from RNAcentral.
AGAGUUUGAUCCUGGCUCAGAUUGAACGCUGGCGGCACGCUUAACACAUGCAAGUCGAGCGGUAACAUGAUAGUAGCUUGCUACUAUUGAUGACGAGCGGCGGACGGGUGAGUAAUGCGUAGGUAUCUACCUCAUAGUGGGGGAUAACCCGGGGAAACUCGGGCUAAUACCGCAUGAGCUCUACGGAGGAAAGCUAGGGGUAACUCUGGCGCUAUGAGAUGAGCCUACGUCGGAUUAGCUAGUUGGUGGGGUAAAGGCUUACCAAGGCGAUGAUCUGUAGCUGGUCUGAGAGGACGGACAGCCACACUGGGACUGAGACACGGCCCAGACUCCUACGGGAGGCAGCAGUGGGGAAUAUUGGACAAUGGGGGCAACCCUGAUCCAGCGAUGCCGCGUGUGAAGAAGGCCUGCGGGUUGUAAAGCACUUUAGUUGGGGAGGAAGGUUAGAUGGUUAAGAGCUGUUUAAUUUGACGUUACCCAAAGAAUAAGCACCGGCUAACUCUGUGCCAGCAGCCGCGGUAAUACAGAGGGUGCAAGCGUUAAUCGGAAUUACUGGGCGUAAAGGGCGCGUAGGCGGAUAAUCAAGCUGGAUGUGAAAGACCCGGGCUUAACCUGGGGGUGUCAUUCAUAACUGGUUAUCUAGAGUAUAGGAGAGGAGAGUGGAAUUCACAGUGUAGCGGUGAAAUGCGUAGAUAUUGUGAGGAACAUCGAUGGCGAAGGCAGCUCUCUGGCCUAAUACUGACGCUGAGGCGCGAAAGCAUGGGUAGCGAACAGGAUUAGAUACCCUGGUAGUCC